AGAGUUUGAUCCUGGCUCAGGACGAACGCUGGCGGCGUGCUUAACACAUGCAAGUCGAACGAUGAACCACUUCGGUGGGGAUUAGUGGCGAACGGGUGAGUAACACGUGGGCAAUCUGCUCACUCUGGGACAAGCCCUGGAAACGGGGUCUAAUACCGGAUAACACUGCGGAUCGCAUGGUCUGUGGUUAAAAGCUCCGG
This 200-nucleotide ribosomal RNA is filed under the name uncultured bacterium. Its description in RNAcentral is "partial 16S ribosomal RNA". It matches the Rfam family "Bacterial small subunit ribosomal RNA", at positions 8 to 214 of the family's 1533-position model. The record is from RNAcentral.